CUGUUCCCUCUCAGCUUGCCCGUCAAUGGCUUGGAGCUCUUUGUAAAACUCACUCAGCGAGUCGUCAAUGUUCUUCUCUGGGGGGCAGGUGGGACCAAUGAAGGCGGUGCUUGUGAGUCCCACCUCCUUUAAAACACGUUGGACAUCUGUAGCCUCCUUGACGACAGCUUCACUCGCUUCGCUGCCCACCGGAGCAUUGCUAGAAUUUUGGCCGCAUGAGGGAGCCGCUUGAGACAUCUACACGAGCAAGAAAAGAAAAGGGGAAAAAAACCGCUCUUUUCAUUUAAAGAGUUGACGCGCUGUGGCGACCCUUAACGGGACAAGUCCGAAAGGAAAAGAAGCAGUUUCUUUCACUCGUCUCCCCCCACCCUGCAAAUUACGGUUGAUUUGAGGUAAAAUAAUUGAAUAAAAAAUAUGUAUUGUGUGCGGAUUUUUACAUGACAGUAAGCAGCUGCAUGCAGUUGCGAAGCCACCUUAUGUUAGAUGUACAGUACCAAGUAGUACUUAAUCCAAUUAGCUAAACCAAGGGAUGCUAUUAGUUGCAUUUCUUUUAAAUAUUUUACUCUAUUUUCUUUAGUUAUUACUUUUAUUAACAUAAUACUUGGUGAAAAAGAUCCUGGCUCAAUUUUAUUUGUAAUAUUUCUCUUAAAUGUCAAAUGGUGUUGAUUAUUGUCUCCUCCUGCAUAUGCAUCUCAUUUUAAUUAAUAUUCCUGCAUUGAAAGACAAAUGUCAACAUUAAUUAGCCUUGACAUUUUCUACCGUCUUUCACCCCCCUCCCACCAAAAAAAAGUCAGUUUUAAUUUCCCAGUACAAUAAAAUAGAUGUAAUAUAACUUUGUUGCUACAUCACCUUAUAUUCGAUUUGGGAAAGGAAAUUCUAUUAAGUGCAUUAUACUCUAUUAAUCAAUUUAUUUGAAAUGUAGUAUUUUUCUAUUAAUUGUAAUAUUCAACUUAAUUUUAAUCAAUUGCAUUAUUAUGCCUUAUUUGUAUUUCAUCAAAUACAUAUUUGAUUGCAACUCAUUUAUAUUAAAGCUAGACUGGCAGAAGAGCGGUAUGCCUUUUAGAUACUAACCUGUAUAUGCAUGAUUAUUUUGAUGCCUCCAUUAUACGUACUAGAGCGGCUCCAGGACAUACUUGGCAAAUAAAGAUGAUACUGAUACAGUGACUCAGACCAAUUUUUCAAAUUAUUAUUUUUUCCUUUUUAAACUUGUGGUUCACUUCUAUAAUACAGUAGUUUACAGUUACAGUGCGUUAUUGACACGCAAGGCCUGCGUAUCAAUCAUAGCGAGCUCUUGGUCGUUCACCCACUCCUCCUCGGAUGGGCCUCCAGAUAGCGGUGUCGGUGUUGGGUUGUGUACAGUUUUUACAGUGCAAAGCACGGAAGUUCUCCGAGGACAGUUGAAGGUCUUCUUGACAGAGGGCGAAGCGGCCGGGCCCAGGCGGAACAACGGCGGGGGAGACGGCACGCGAGACAGAAGGUUCCUGAGCUGUCCGAGGGCCUGUUGGAGAUGCUCUUCUUUGGGGUUGGCGGAGAAGACUGUGAGGUCUCCCGCAUACACGACGGGGGUGGGCCGGACGGAUCGGCCCCUCAGCUGCAGGUUGCUCAGAGCCAGUAACGCGCCGGAUUUCACCACGUCCGCCAGGCCGGCCUGAAGCAGGCUGCUGAAACAGCGGACCUUCACAAAGUUCACGUUGCAGUCCACCAGGUAGAAGGCAGGAGAAGCAC
Molecule: long non-coding RNA, 1725 nt
Organism: Phycodurus eques (leafy seadragon)
Lineage: Eukaryota; Metazoa; Chordata; Actinopteri; Syngnathiformes; Syngnathidae
Exons: 3
Source: RefSeq, a predicted model, not a curated record